This 180-nucleotide ribosomal RNA is filed under the name uncultured bacterium. RNAcentral's name for it is "partial 16S ribosomal RNA". It matches the Rfam family "Bacterial small subunit ribosomal RNA", at positions 1321 to 1500 of the family's 1533-position model. The record is from RNAcentral.
UGAAGCUGGAAUCGCUAGUAAUCGCGAAUCAGAAUGUCGCGGUGAAUACGUUCCCGGGUCUUGUACACACCGCCCGUCACACCAUGGGAGUCGGAAAUGCCCGAAGUCGGUAGUCUAACCGAAAGGAGGACGCCGCCGAAGGUGGGAUUGAUGACUGGGGUGAAGUCGUAACAAGGUAUC